UAGGGAAUCUCCCACAAUGGGCGAAAGCCUGAUGGAGCAACGCCGCGUGUGUGAUGAAGGGUUUCGGCUCGUAAAACACUGUUGUAAGAGAAGAAUGACAUUGAGAGUAACUGUUCAAUGUGUGACGGUAUCUUACCAGAAAGGAACGGCUAAAUACGUGCCA
RNAcentral lists this ribosomal RNA (163 nucleotides) under uncultured bacterium. Its description in RNAcentral is "partial 16S rRNA". It matches the Rfam family "Bacterial small subunit ribosomal RNA", at positions 355 to 510 of the family's 1533-position model. The record is from RNAcentral.